GGCUUUCUUCACAGAGGACCAUGCCUGUCAGGACUCAGCCCUGCUGUUGUUCAUGUCCUGCUUGGUGGGAGUCCUGAAACUGCAACUGUUCAACUGGAGGACUGUCCAGACUUGGACAUCAGAGAAUCAAUCAGACUUCUUGAAGGGGAAUCCAAACUCUCAGAUAAGGAUAAAAUAAGUGUCCAGGACUUGGCCUAUGCCUGGGACCUCACUUCUCUGACUGAGAACAACAGGAGAUGGCUUUUUGAUAAGCUAUUGAUCCAUGCUGUAAUCGGACGUGUCACAAGACAAAUCAAGCAGCUGAGACGAGGUCUUAAAGAAACCCCAAUGUGAACCGUGCUGACCCAACGACCUGACACAGUGG
Long non-coding RNA from Xyrauchen texanus (razorback sucker), 364 nucleotides. RefSeq lists it as uncharacterized. The record is from RefSeq and is a predicted model, not a curated record. The transcript has 3 exons. NCBI's taxonomy places the organism in Eukaryota, Metazoa, Chordata, Actinopteri, Cypriniformes, Catostomidae.